RNAcentral lists this long non-coding RNA (660 nucleotides) under Homo sapiens (human). Its description in RNAcentral is "HSALNT0179705". Lineage: Eukaryota; Metazoa; Chordata; Mammalia; Primates; Hominidae. The record is from RNAcentral.
CGCAGCUCCAUGGUGUGAUUUAUACCCUAGAGAAAGAGUCAACAAACUGCAGCCCCUUGGCCAAAUCCAGCCCACUGCCUGCUUUUAAACACUGAUUUUGACAACCAUCCGUGGAGAAGAGCCCAGGAGUUAAGCAGAGAUGUCCUGGCAUUCUAUUGGAAGAAACAAAUUUCUCUCUCUCUUAGUAAAUGCGCCUUGAGAGCCUGUGCUAACAUAUAAGAAGUCCAGCUCCCCAGAAGCUGCCUGCUAAAGAGAUUAUGUGGAGAGACUACAAAGAGACAGAGAAAGAUUCCUGAGGAGCUGCAGUUGUUUCAGCCCCAGCCGUUGGAGUCUUCCAGCCCAGGGAUCAGACAGCUGAGUGAAGAGAAGAGACCUUUGAGAUCACCUCAUCCCAGCCGCCAUCUGACUGCAGUUUCAAGAGACUUAAAGCCGGAGCCACCCAGUGUGCUGCACCAAAUUUUCAGCCCAUAGAAACCAUGAGCAAAAAUAAACGAUCAUUGUGGGUUUCAGCUGAUAAAUUUUGGAGGAAUGAAAUAAAAGGAAAAGUGAAUACAGAUAAAGAAGAAAGCUCAUCCCUUUUGCCAUUUAAGCAAUGGCCUAUUGUCCACCCUCCAUAGGGAUAUGGCAUUGGUGGUAAAUUCAAUAUUUAUAUCACUGGGA